CCAUUCAAAAUUUGGAAGUCGCUCUGGAUAAGAGCGUCUGCUAAAUGACGUAAA
Molecule: non-coding RNA, 54 nt
Organism: Salmo salar (Atlantic salmon)
Lineage: Eukaryota; Metazoa; Chordata; Actinopteri; Salmoniformes; Salmonidae
Source: Rfam